Molecule: ribosomal RNA, 462 nt
Filed under: beta proteobacterium SR6
Lineage: Bacteria; Pseudomonadati; Pseudomonadota; Betaproteobacteria
Description: bacterial SSU rRNA
Rfam family: Bacterial small subunit ribosomal RNA
Source: RNAcentral
UCGGAUUAAUACCGCAUACGAUCUAAGGAUGAAAGCAGGGGAUCGCAAGACCUUGCGCUAUACGAGCGGCCGAUGUCGGAUUAGCUAGUUGGUAGGGUAAAGGCCUACCAAGGCAACGAUCCGUAGCGGGUCUGAGAGGAUGAUCCGCCACACUGGGACUGAGACACGGCCCAGACUCCUACGGGAGGCAGCAGUGGGGAAUUUUGGACAAUGGACGAAAGUCUGAUCCAGCCAUGCCGCGUGAGUGAAGAAGGCCUUCGGGUUGUAAAGCUCUUUUGUCCGGGAGCAAAUCCUGUUCACUAAUACUGAGCGGGGCUGAGAGUACCGGAAGAAUAAGCACCGGCUAACUACGUGCCAGCAGCCGCGGUAAUACGUAGGGUGCGAGCGUUAAUCGGAAUUACUGGGCGUAAAGGGUGCGCAGGUGGUUACGUAAGUCUGAUGUGAAAGCCCCGGGCUCAACCU